CAAUAGCGUAUAUUAAAGUUGUUGCGGUUAAAAAGCUCGUAGUUGGAUUUCUGUCGAGGAUGAUCGGUCCGCCCUCUGGGUGAGUAUCUGGUUCAUCCUGGACAUCUUCUUGGAGAACGUUACUGCACUUGACUGUGUGGUGCGGUAUCCAGGACUUUUACUUUGAGGAAAUUAGAGUGUUUCAAGCAGGCAUCCGCCUUGUAUACAUUAGCAUGGAAUAAUAAGAUAGGGCCCUGGCUCUGUUUUGUUGGUUUCUGGAGCCGAGGUAAUGAUUAAUAGGGAUUGUUGGGGGCAUUCGUAUUUAGCUGUCAGAGGUGAAAUUCUUGGAUUAGUUAAAGACGGACUACUGCGAAAGCAUUUGCCAAAUAUGUUUUCAUUGAUCAAGAACGAAAGUUAGGGGAUCGAAGACGAUCAGAUACCGU
Molecule: ribosomal RNA, 422 nt
Filed under: uncultured eukaryote
Lineage: Eukaryota
Description: SSU rRNA
Rfam family: Eukaryotic small subunit ribosomal RNA
Source: RNAcentral